AUGGAUCGACUGUGCCGUACAAUCUUUCUUCUUUUAGUUAUAGAAGGAGCUCUGGUCAGUAGUGUAUAUCCAGAAGAACUGAACGUCUGUUUGGAACCAAAGUACAUUAAAGUCUGGGAAGGAGACUCAGUCACAGUCAACUGCACUUUUCAGCCGGGUGGAAAUUACAAACUGAAAUGGUACUUCAGCCCUACUUAUUUAGACUGUAACUCUGAAACAAAAGGAUUACUUGAAAAAUGGCACAAUAAAACAGAAAACCUUAGUUGGUCAAUAUUCACCAUUAAUUCCAUCAAGACCAAUGAGAGCGGAUGGUACUUCUGCAAGGUUUCGAGAGAUAUUCCUUUUCUUGAAGAAAAAUGCAGUAAUGGAAUACAGGUUCUGGUAGGCAACAUAUUUAGGAUCACUGCCUGCAUACAGUGGCGACUCAUGGAUAUUAAAAUAGAGGAGGCACCCUAAACUGUAGCCGUACCCACUCUGAUGUUGUUGUUUUGUUUUUUUUUUCUUAAAAGGUAUAGUUUGCCCAAAAAUGAAAAUCUGUAAUUAUUUACUCACCCUCAUGUCAUUCCAAAUCCAUAUGACCUUCAUUCAGAACACAAAUGAAGAUAUUUUUGAUGAAAUCGGAGGCUUUCUGACGCUGCAUAGACAGCAAUGUAACUGAAAUGUUGCAUUGUAUUCUUGCUGCUUAGUAAAAAUUAAGGUUGAACCACUGAUGUCACAUGGACUGUUUUAACUAAUUUCUUACAAUGUUUCUGGGUCUGGAAACAUUUCAGUUGCAUUGCUGUUUAUGCAGGGUCAGAAUUCAGAAAGCUCUCGGAUUUCAUCAAAAAUAUCUUCAUUUGUGUUCUGAAGAUGAUUAUAGGUCUUAUGGGUUUGGAACAACAUGAGGGUGAAUUUUUGGGUGAACUAACCCUCUAACUUAACUUUUUUUUUUUUUACCUGUGCUUGAUCUUUACUAUAACGAUUAAAAUAGAUUUUUGCUUGGUGCAAUGCUGAAAAAAGUUGCUUGUAG
Molecule: long non-coding RNA, 1009 nt
Filed under: Carassius auratus (goldfish)
Lineage: Eukaryota; Metazoa; Chordata; Actinopteri; Cypriniformes; Cyprinidae
Description: lncRNA (ENSCARG00000032124.1)
Source: RNAcentral